RNAcentral lists this ribosomal RNA (504 nucleotides) under uncultured bacterium. Its description in RNAcentral is "partial 16S ribosomal RNA". It matches the Rfam family "Bacterial small subunit ribosomal RNA", at positions 30 to 523 of the family's 1533-position model. The record is from RNAcentral.
AUUGAACGCUGGCGGCAGGCCUAACACAUGCAAGUCGAACGGUAGCACAGAGAGCUUGCUCUUGGGUGACGAGUGGCGGACGGGUGAGUAAUGUCUGGGAAACUGCCCGAUGGAGGGGGAUAACUACUGGAAACGGUAGCUAAUACCGCAUAACGUCUUCGGACCAAAGUGGGGGACCUUCGGGCCUCACACCAUCGGAUGUGCCCAGAUGGGAUUAGCUAGUAGGUGGGGUAAGGGCUCACCUAGGCGACGAUCCCUAGCUGGUCUGAGAGGAUGACCAGCCACACUGGAACUGAGACACGGUCCAGACUCCUACGGGAGGCAGCAGUGGGGAAUAUUGCACAAUGGGCGCAAGCCUGAUGCAGCCAUGCCGCGUGUAUGAAGAAGGCCUUCGGGUUGUAAAGUACUUUCAGCGGGGAGGAAGGCGAUGGAGUUAAUAGCUUCAUCGAUUGACGUUACCCGCAGAAGAAGCACCGGCUAACUCCGUGCCAGCCGCCGCAGUAA